RNAcentral lists this ribosomal RNA (424 nucleotides) under uncultured bacterium. RNAcentral's name for it is "bacterial SSU rRNA". It matches the Rfam family "Bacterial small subunit ribosomal RNA", at positions 954 to 1377 of the family's 1533-position model. The record is from RNAcentral.
GCUUAACGCGAAGAACCUUACCUGGCCUUGACAUGCAGAGAACUUUCCAGAGAUGGAUUGGUGCCUUCGGGAACUCUGACACAGGUGCUGCAUGGCUGUCGUCGGCUCGUGUCGUGAGAUGUUGGGUUAAGUCCCGUAACGAGCGCAACCCUUGUCCUUAGUUACCAGCACGUCAUGGUGGGCACUCUAAGGAGACUGCCGGUGACAAACCGGAGGAAGGUGGGGAUGACGUCAAGUCAUCAUGGCCCUUACGGCCUGGGCUACACACGUGCUACAAUGGUCGGUACAGAGGAUUGCCAAGCCGCGAGGUGGAGCUAAUCUCACAAAACCGAUCGUAGUCCGGAUCGCAGUCUGCAACUCGACUGCGUGAAGUCGGAAUCGCUAGUAAUCGCGAAUCAGAAUGUCGCGGUGAAUACGUUCCCGG